GAAGGCUCUUGGGUCGUAAACCUCUUUUCUCAAGGAAGAAGAAAGUGACGGUACUUGAGGAAUAAGCAUCGGCUAACUCCGUGCCAGCAGCCGCGGUAAUACGGAGGAUGCAAGCGUUAUCCGGAAUGAUUGGGCGUAAAGGGUCUGCAGGUGGAACUGAAAGUCUGCUGUUAAAGAGUUUGGCUUAACCAAAUAAAAGCGGUGGAAACUACAGAACUAGAGUGCGGUAGGGGCAAAAGGAAUUCCUGGUGUAGCGGUGAAAUGCGUAGAUAUCAGGAAGAACACCGGUGGCGAAAGCGUUUUGCUAGACCGUAACUGACACUGAGGGACGAAAGCUAGGGGAGCGAAUGGGAUUAGAUACCCCAGUAGUCCUAGCCGUAAACGAUGGAUACUAGGCGUGGCUUGUAUCGACCCGAGCCGUGCCGGAGCUAACGCGUUAAGUAUCCCGCCUGGGGAGUACGCACGCAAGUGUGAAACUCAAAGGAAUUGACGGGGGCCCGCACAAGCGGUGGAGUAUGUGGUUUAAUUCGAUGCAACGCGAAGAACCUUACCAAGACUUGACAUCCUGCGAAUCCCGGUGAAAGCUGGGAGUGCCUUAGGGAGCGCAGAGACAGGUGGUGCAUGGCUGUCGUCAGCUCGUGUCGUGAGAUGUUGGGUUAAGUCCCGCAACGAGCGCAACCCUCGUUUUUAGUUGCCAGCAUUAAGUUGGGCACUCUAGAGAGACUGCCGGUGACAAACCGGAGGAAGGUGAGGAUGACGUCAAGUCAGCAUGCCCCUUACGUCUUGGGCUACACACGUACUACAAUGCUACGGACAGAGGGCAGCGAGCCAGGGAUGGCAAGCGAAUCCAGAAACCGUAGCUCAGUUCAGAUCGAAGGCUGCAACUCGCCUUCGUGAAGGAGGAAUCGCUAGU
RNAcentral lists this ribosomal RNA (913 nucleotides) under Cylindrospermopsis raciborskii UFMG182. RNAcentral's name for it is "bacterial SSU rRNA". It matches the Rfam family "Bacterial small subunit ribosomal RNA", at positions 410 to 1339 of the family's 1533-position model. The record is from RNAcentral. Lineage: Bacteria; Bacillati; Cyanobacteriota; Cyanophyceae; Nostocales; Aphanizomenonaceae.